AUGCAUAACGCUGUCCAAGUAGACAAUUUUACCAAUUGCUAUGGAUUUAGAGGAGCAUGCAGCAUUUACUUGAUAAGCUAAUGUGUCGUUGUGUUUCAUCGCACAUCCGAGUACUAUCUCCAUCAGUUUCUGAUGACUAGCCUAUACGCAUGAACAUAUAUGUUUUGGAGUAUUUUGGAUUAUUUAAUUAGGUUUUGUGUGUGUGUGUGUGUGUGUUCUCUCUUUCUAUUCGGUUUCCUGUUUGAAUACAGUCAAGAGAUGUGUCAUACAGGCGUUGUUUAUCCUGUGUGAAACUUACAGUCAUUGUUCUUUGCAUGAGUUAAAAGUCGCUGAAUUUGCAGUUUGAAGGUGUAAAGCGUAGGCUACUUGUGAAAACCCUUACAGGACUUUAAUACAGCAAAUCACAGGUAAAAAAAAAAGUACGGGACCUUAAUAGUCGCACACAAACUGAGGAUUUUAACAAAAACUAUGUAAUUGAUUCGUGAUUAAGUUCCAGCAAUCAUAAUGACUUCUCAAUAGAAGUAGCCUACAUAAUUGCACUUUUAACUUCUGAUGUCUGAAACUUGUGCCUACCAGAAUGUUUAAGAAUUAUAAAAAUAAAAUAAAAAAAAUAGUAGAACUAUAAUAGCAUACGAUACAGUCAUAGGUCUACAUUACAAUAAAAAAAUGUUGUCGUAGGGAUUCCUGACUGAACGCAUAAGAAUACAAUCGAUCGUUUGGAAAUGCAACUGUCAAUCAAGAAGUCACGCCUCCUAUUCGCCUGUUCACUGCGACUUCAGACAAAGAAAUCAUUCGCACUGGUGACGAGUGACAUUCAGAUUGUUACGAUGUUUCUUUUAUGUCGGUUUGUAUUUUGUUUCAUUUUGUCACUCAUUUUUGCUCUCAGACUUGUCAAGGGAAACUCAGGAUAUGGUAUGUAGCAACUCUGAAAUAGCACGUCACAAAAAGGCCUUGUUAAGACUCUUUUGAGAAAUAAUUUUGGUAAACAUUAAGUUUUGUGUACGCUUUUUACAGCUGUUCAGUGGUGCUUUGGAUUCAGCAACUGUAGCUCAUUGGACUUACUCCAUUGUCAGGAAACGGAGCUUCCACUGUGUUCCAAGCUGUGUUUCAGUGAAGGAUGCUUCUCCUCUGAGAAUGUCCCUUCUGGGAAUGAGACGAGCUGGCUGGCAGUGCACAGCAGCAGAGGGCCUUCUGUUCAUGAUGCCACUGUAGCUGCUUUGACUGACAGGGUGCAGAUUGGGAAGCCCCUCCUCCUGGAAGUUUCAGGCAUACUAAAUCUGAGCAAAGAAAACGUUUCUAUGGUUUUCAUUACAUUUAGUGGGAACUCUGGUCCUCAGGGUCUGCAUAAUAUAUCUGUUAUGGCCAACGGAUACCUCACCUGCUACAUAGAUGCGAUAUUACAAGCUGCUGGAUUGUACUAUUUAAGUAUGUUUAGCUGCAAAACAACAAAUAUACAGGAAGAAUAACACAGCUUUUGUGACCACCAUAUGUCU
Cyprinus carpio (common carp) is the source of this 1493-nucleotide long non-coding RNA. NCBI's taxonomy places the organism in Eukaryota, Metazoa, Chordata, Actinopteri, Cypriniformes, Cyprinidae. The record is from Ensembl.